GCAGACACAUUCCAGCCAAUCAGCAGCAGACCCUCCCUCCCAGACCCUCCCACAUCCUGGACAGCAUCCAUUGUGAAGCUGCAUUCUUAGUGAACUGUCCAGGAACUGGGAGGGUCUGGGAGGGAGGGUCUGCUGCUGAUUGGCUGGAAUGUGCCA
Molecule: microRNA precursor, 156 nt
Filed under: Pelobates cultripes (western spadefoot toad)
Lineage: Eukaryota; Metazoa; Chordata; Amphibia; Anura; Pelobatidae
Source: RNAcentral